RNAcentral lists this ribosomal RNA (425 nucleotides) under uncultured bacterium. RNAcentral's name for it is "bacterial SSU rRNA". It matches the Rfam family "Bacterial small subunit ribosomal RNA", at positions 357 to 772 of the family's 1533-position model. The record is from RNAcentral.
GGGAAUAUUGCGCAAUGGGCGAAAGCCUGACGCAGCGACGCCGCGUGGGGGAGGAAGGCCCCAGGGUUGUAAACCCCUGUCAGGUGGGACGAACCCCGGUACGUCGAACAGGCGUACCGACUGACGGUACCACCAGAGGAAGCUCCGGCUAACUCCGUGCCAGCAGCCGCGGUAAUACGUAGGGGGCAAGCGUUAUCCGGAAUCAUUGGGCGUAAAGAGCUCGUAGGCGGUUCAGCAAGUCGGCUGUGAAAGUCCAAGGCUCAACCUUGGAAAUGCAGUCGAUACUGCUGUGACUAGAGUCUGGUAGAGGAGAAUGGAAUUCCCGGUGUAGCGGUGGAAUGCGCAGAUAUCGGGAGGAACACCAGUAGCGAAGGCGGUUCUCUGGGCCUCGACUGACGCUGAGGAGCGAAAGCAUGGGUAGCAAA